AUUGAACGCUGGCGGCAUGCCUUACACAUGCAAGUCGAACGGCAGCGGGGGAGAAGCUUGCUUUUCCUGCCGGCGAGUGGCGAACGGGUGAGUAAUACAUCUGAACGUGCCCUGUAGUGGGGGAUAACUAGUCGAAAGAUUAGCUAAUACCGCAUACGACCUGAGGGUGAAAGUGGGGGACCGCAAGGCCUCAUGCUAUAGGAGCGGCCGAUGUCUGAUUAGCUAGUUGGUGGGGUAAAGGCCUACCAAGGCGACGAUCAGUAGCUGGUCUGAGAGGAAGAUCAGCCACACUGGGACUGAGACACGGCCCAGACUCCUACGGGAGGCAGCAGUGGGGAAUUUUGGACAAUGGGCGAAAGCCUGAUCCAGCAAUGCCGCGUGUGUGAAGAAGGCCUUCGGGUUGUAAAGCACUUUUGUCCGGAAAGAAAUGGCUCUGGUUAAUACCUGGGGUCGAUGACGGUACCGGAAGAAUAAGGACCGGCUAACUACGUGCCAGCAGCCGCGGUAA
RNAcentral lists this ribosomal RNA (508 nucleotides) under uncultured bacterium. RNAcentral's name for it is "partial 16S ribosomal RNA". It matches the Rfam family "Bacterial small subunit ribosomal RNA", at positions 30 to 523 of the family's 1533-position model. The record is from RNAcentral.